CCUACGGGGGACAGCAGUGAGGAAUAUUGGUCAAUGGGCGGAAGCCUGAACCAGCCAAGUAGCGUGCGGGAUGAAGGCCCUACGGGUCGUAAACCGCUUUUGCACGGGGAUAACACCCUCCACUUGUGGAGGUCUGCAGGUACCGUGCGAAUAAGGGCUGGCUAAUUCCGUGCCAGCAGCCGCGGUAAUACGGAAGGCGCGAGCGUUAUCCGGAUUCAUUGGGCUUAAAGGGAGCGUAGGCGGGCGUUCAAGUCAGCGGUAAAAUGGCGGGGCUCAACCGCGCCCCGCAGUUGAAACUGGGCGCCUUGAGUUCACAACAGGCAGGCGGAAUGCGUGGUGUAGCGGUGAAAUGCAUAGAUAUCACGAGGAACCCCGAUUGCGAGGGCAGCCUGCCGGGGUGCGACUGACGCUGAGGCUCGAAGGUGCGGGUAUCGAACAGGAUUAGAUACCCGAGUAGUC
Molecule: ribosomal RNA, 459 nt
Filed under: uncultured bacterium
Lineage: Bacteria
Description: partial 16S ribosomal RNA
Rfam family: Bacterial small subunit ribosomal RNA
Source: RNAcentral